Mangifera indica (mango) is the source of this 1027-nucleotide long non-coding RNA. RefSeq lists it as uncharacterized. NCBI's taxonomy places the organism in Eukaryota, Viridiplantae, Streptophyta, Magnoliopsida, Sapindales, Anacardiaceae. The transcript has 2 exons. The record is from RefSeq and is a predicted model, not a curated record.
CAGAUUGGAACUGCAGCAAGCACAUGAAAAGCAAAAGGAAGAAGAGGGGGAAGCUUUAAAGCACUCUAUGCAGAGUGGAAUGGCAAAAGCAAUGAAAUAGCAAGCUCAACUCAGGAAGGAGAUGGCUUAUCAGUGCAAACUUGGCAACUUUGAGGUGAGGAAGUGAAAAUUGAUUCUCUUUCAAAUUAUUGAUGUUUUGCUAAUACGUUUAUGCAGGCUGCAGCUGCUAUUCAGCAAAGAUUGGACCCAGAUGUUGCUAUGUUAGUUGUUGGCUGUAUCAUGGAGAGUAGACUGCUUACAGUUUGCGUUUUAAGUACAAAGUUCUACUCCAUCAAGAAGCUAUGAAAUCUUUUCAUGCUUGUAUCCUCAGAUUGAGAGACCAGCGGCUUGAUGCCCCAUUCUAGGUUUGAACUUUGACCCAUCUUGCAACACUAGUUCUCAUCUAAUAUUUAAGCAGAUUCAGACAGAGACAUAUCUCAACUCCCUGUCAUAUACUAAAGUAUAUGUGUCAAGUUAUCGUUUAUGAUUAAACAAUAGAGUAAUAUAUAUAUAGUGGGUAAUGGCGAGACAAGAUGCUGGAAGAUAUCAGAUGUUGCAAUUUUUUUGUGGUAUAUUCUUUUGGUGUUGGUGGUAAUACUAAUACUGUAGGUGGUUAUUAAAUCAACAAGUCUCGUGUUUUCCUUUAUACAGGAGCUUCUUUAGCAUUUCAUAGCUUACAAGUUUAGUGUUUAGGAGUUGUUUAAUGGAAUGUGUCUUUGCCAAUGUUGCCAUGAUUGGUUGUAUCAAAGUAACUCCAUACAACAUAGAAGCCGAAAUUAUCCUGGAAAGGGAGGACUUUCUCCAGAUGCUGAUCAGGAGUGAAUGACUACUAAUCUAUGCAUCAGACUAAAAGGUUGGUUUGGCAUUAGUUUGGUACCAGGUUAUUUAGUUAUAUUUGACGAUGGAUUGAUACGAAUUGUUAAAGUUUAAAUUGAUGUUCGAUUUGAAUAAGUCAAAUUUGAGUAAAGAUAGUUUCAAUUAUACUCAA